GCUGUAGCUCAGUGAUGGAACACUUGCCUUGCAUGCAGAAGGUCCCAGGUUCAAUCCCUGACAUCUCCA
Podarcis lilfordi (Lilford's wall lizard) is the source of this 69-nucleotide non-coding RNA. The record is from the annotation of a GenBank genome assembly. Lineage: Eukaryota; Metazoa; Chordata; Lepidosauria; Squamata; Lacertidae.